This 1153-nucleotide ribosomal RNA is filed under the name human gut metagenome. RNAcentral describes it as "bacterial SSU rRNA". It matches the Rfam family "Bacterial small subunit ribosomal RNA", at positions 89 to 1253 of the family's 1533-position model. The record is from RNAcentral.
GUGAGAGUGGCGAACGGGUGAGUAAUGCGUGACCGACCUGCCCCAUACACCGGAAUAGCUCCUGGAAACGGGUGGUAAUGCCGGAUGCUCCAGUCCAUCGCAUGGUGGUCUGGGAAAGAUUUAUUCGGUAUGGGAUGGGGUCGCGUCCUAUUAGCUAGUUGGCGGGGUAACGGCCCACCAAGCCUACGACGGGUAGCCGGCCUGAGAGGGCGACCGGCCACAUUGGGACUGAGAUACGGCCCAGACUCCUACGGGAGGCAGCAGUGGGGAAUAUUGCACAAUGGGCGCAAGCCUGAUGCAGCGACGCCGCGUGCGGGAUGACGGCCUUCGGGUUGUAAACCGCUUUUGUUGGGGAGCAAGCCUUCGGGUGAGUGUACCCUUCGAAUAAGCACCGGCUAACUACGUGCCAGCAGCCGCGGUAAUACGUAGGGUGCAAGCGUUAUCCGGAAUUAUUGGGCGUAAAGGGCUCGUAGGCGGUUCGUCGCGUCCGGUGUGAAAGUCCAUCGCUUAACGGUGGAUCUGCGCCGGGUACGGGCGGGCUGGAGUGCGGUAGGGGAGACUGGAAUUCCCGGUGUAACGGUGGAAUGUGUAGAUAUCGGGAAGAACACCAAUGGCGAAGGCAGGUCUCUGGGCCGUUACUGACGCUGAGGAGCGAAAGCGUGGGGAGCGAACAGGAUUAGAUACCCUGGUAGUCCACGCUGUAAACGGUGGAUGCUGGAUGUGGGGCCCGUUCCACGGGUUCCGUGUCGGAGCUAACGCGUUAAGCAUCCCGCCUGGGGAGUACGGCCGCAAGGCUAAAACUCAAAGAAAUUGACGGGGGCCCGCACAAGCGGCGGAGCAUGCGGAUUAAUUCGAUGCAACGCGAAGAACCUUACCUGGGCUUGACAUGUUCCCGACAGCCCCAGAGAUGGGGCCUCCCUUCGGGGCGGGUUCACAGGUGGUGCAUGGUCGUCGUCAGCUCGUGUCGUGAGAUGUUGGGUUAAGUCCCGCAACGAGCGCAACCCUCGCCCCGUGUUGCCAGCACAUGAUGGUGGGAACUCACGGGGGACCGCCGGGGUUAACUCGGAGGAAGGUGGGGAUGACGUCAGAUCAUCAUGCCCCUUACGUCCAGGGCUUCACGCAUGCUACAAUGGCCGGUACAACGGGAUGCGAC